This 227-nucleotide non-coding RNA is filed under the name Pseudofrankia asymbiotica. Lineage: Bacteria; Bacillati; Actinomycetota; Actinomycetes; Frankiales; Frankiaceae. The record is from RNAcentral.
UGUAGGGUGUGGCUCGUUGGUUCGGCCGCCCCGCCAAGGGCGGCCGUCGUAAGAGGGAACCCGGUGGGAGUCCGGGACUGCCCCGCAGCGGUAUGUGGGAACGACCGCCGUCAGGAGCACUGGGCGCGAUGGCGUGCCUGGGAAGCGACGGCCAGUAGGUCCGUCGGCGCCACCGGUGCCGGCGGGAGCCCGCGAGUCCGAAGACCUGCCAGCGUGCCGCGCGCGAA